Molecule: transfer RNA, 69 nt
Filed under: Streptantibioticus cattleyicolor NRRL 8057 = DSM 46488
Lineage: Bacteria; Bacillati; Actinomycetota; Actinomycetes; Kitasatosporales; Streptomycetaceae
Description: tRNA-Leu (CAA) (tRNA-Leu-CAA-2-1)
Source: RNAcentral
GCGUUCGUGGUCCAAGUCAAGACGCCCACCAAGUGGGAAAUGCAGGUGCAAGCCCUGCCGGGCGCUCCA